AUUCCAAGUAUUUUCGUAAUUAGAUAAUAUAUAACAUAGAUUCCAACAAUUGAAAUGUCAUUCAAAAUGUUUUAUCACAAAUUGUUAAUGAUAUUCCACCAUCAAGACAAUUCGUGCUUAGAAACAAAGCUGCUCAGAAUUUUGCAAUUAGCUAAUCAUGGAUUAUCAUAUGUCCAGACAUAAUUUAAGCAACAUCAUCAUUGCAGCCAGAUAAAACUAAAGAAUUACAUAAAUAAACCAAAUUAAUUUGUAAUUAACAGUAACUACUAACUUUCAGAGAAAUUCCAUUAAUGGAAGUUGUGCAGACAAUCAACAUGGCAUCAGUUCAGACCGCCCGUCUGCUUGUAUCUCAUCAUUAAGCCAACAAAUUAAUUUCUAUCAAACAGAUUAAACUAAGAAAUAUAAUAAUUAAGAGGCAUCAGUAAACUAAUUGAGAGUUAAUUUUUCUUCAUUAAAUUUCAGUGUGUAGUAUAAGAUUUUUGUUUAAACAUCAUUUGCCUCCCAAAAAACCCAGAAAGAUAAUUUAAAAACAAUUUAAAUUCAUUAGAUCUGAAACUACAAAAAAUGGCAUCAGAUAAUAAGCGGAGUAAAUAAUCGACAUGAUUAUUCAGUAUUUACAGUGAAUCGUCAUUUGCCAAACGAUGAAAAAAUAGAAAAACAUUAACAACUAACAUUCAGUAGAUCUGAAUCAAAGAAACAAAAUAGCAUCAGAUAAUAAGCGGAGUAUAUAAUCGACAUGAUUAUUCAGUACUUACAGUAAAUCAUCAUCUGCAAAAGUAUGAAUUAUGCAAAAAAAAAUCAGAUUCAGAGAAAAAAACAAUUGAAAAGUUGAGGAUUUCGGUAGGACCAUUUGGCACGAAGGCAAUAAGAAUAUGAAUGCAAUGAGCUGGUAAGCCAACCGUAUCAGUUUAUGCAUCAGCUUUAUCUCCUUGUUCACAUAAUUAGUACAAGAAGAGGGUAAAUUUGAUGCUAUAAACACAAAAAAAAAUAAAAAAAAUAAGCAAACACACAUGAAAAUUGUUUGAAGAAACUAUUUUUUGCAGAAUCGAUGGAUGAAGAGAAGCAAAUUGAUUGAAGAAUUACUGGAGAAAAUGUUGUUUAAAUAGGGGUUUAUACAGUGCUAGGGUUUGGAGUAUGCGGCGUUUGGCAGAGAAAACUGGCAGCAGUACUGGUAUACUUAACUAUGUAGUUGUUGGAUGAUUUCAUAAAGCACAUAAAGGAAAGAGUGUGACUUGCAACUCAAAAAUAAGAAGUAUGUUACAAUAGACUUUAUGCUCUAUGCCUCGACGGUCUAAAAGACCUAAAGAACUACUGAAGCGAAAGGGGUACCUGAAAGAACCUCCUGAGUGGUCUUGG
Solanum tuberosum (potato) is the source of this 1356-nucleotide long non-coding RNA. RefSeq lists it as uncharacterized. The record is from RefSeq and is a predicted model, not a curated record. NCBI's taxonomy places the organism in Eukaryota, Viridiplantae, Streptophyta, Magnoliopsida, Solanales, Solanaceae. The transcript is spliced from 3 exons.